Hyaena hyaena (striped hyena) is the source of this 1063-nucleotide long non-coding RNA. RefSeq lists it as uncharacterized. Lineage: Eukaryota; Metazoa; Chordata; Mammalia; Carnivora; Hyaenidae. The transcript has 3 exons. The record is from RefSeq and is a predicted model, not a curated record.
AGGAACUCUGCUCCAUAACCUCAUCAGUAGCACUGGGUUCCACUCACUUGUUGCUCAUUGAAGACUUCUGUGCCGGUACCCUGCAGGCCCGGGGUCGCAGGUGAACCUGGCUGGACGCAGCUGGAUGCCCGCGCCCGGCUGCCAAGCAGUAGUCCGCAGGCAGGGGACAGGGGACCCCAGCGCAGCCCUGGGCUGACACACAUGAAGUCACUUUCCCAGGGUGGUCCCUGGACCCCAUGUGGGGCAUGUAGGCUGGGAGCCCUCUGGUGUGGACUCCGGACCCGCCUGGUGCUGUUAAACCCGCGCCAGCACCUCCUGCAGAAGCAGGGCCCUCGGCCAGCCUUGCACUCCAGGGCCCCCCAGAGACCACCUCUGGUGGUCCUGAACCCAGAGGCGGAGUCCAGAGCCUUCCUAGGAGGCUGCCGAAGAUGGAAAUAACACACUGGUCAUUCGCGAAAGUGCACGGGACAUGGGAAGCCUCAAGGCAAAGGGACCACACAUAACCACAGGAGCUGUUGGGAAGCAGGAAGGCAUGUCUAUCUUGGAAGAAGACAGGCUGAGGCUAGGCUGGCGGGGCCAACAAACAUCCCCAGGCCACGAGGAACCCCACGUCCCUGCCCCGGGGCCGCAGAGCUCAAGGCAACAUCCUUCCUGGAACUGCUGGCUUCUCGACCUGCCCUCAGGGCUGUGAAGGCAAAGGUGAACCUACCCCCCACACUUCUCCAGUCAACACCUGUUGCUCCCGCCCCCACCAACCCUAUGGGCUGUGCACCCCUCCUGGCCACCCUCACCAGAGACCCCAAGCUCAGGCAGAAGCGUGGCCCAGCCACAGUGCUUAAAAGGCUCUCUUCCAAGGUGAGGAAAUGGUUAAAAUGGUGGCAGCCUGCAGGUGAAGUGUCACACUCCACCACCACAGACCACACAGUGCCUUCUGCUUUCUGCAAGUCUUGAGGGUAUAAAGAGUGCUCCGAGUUUGUGUCUGCACCCACACCCACAGCAUGACCCCAGUGACUGAGAUGGGGGGUGUCUGAGUAUAUGAGGGGACAGGAGAUGGGGGGAUGGA